GAAGAGUGUUUCGGGAAGAAGGAACGGUCACUGAGGGACUCAGCAUGUUUGGAGUCUAGCUGGUCUCCACACUCCCCUGGUCCACAUCCCCCACCCCAUGCCCUGCUGACAGCCCAGUGGAACACACCCUCCCAAUCUUGGCUCCACUGCUGAUCCUCCGACAUUCAAUUUACAGAGCCUCUUGAGCCCCAGGAACCCAUUGUGUAACUGAGGAGUCCAUGGUCUCAAUCAGCAGGAAAGGAGCCCUGGUCUCUGAAAUCACCUGAAGUUCAUGAGAUUCUCAUUCUGCUCAAAAAGAGAGAAGACACUUAAGUCUCACCCAGGCAGCAAGAUCAAAGCCCAUGGACUUCCACCCAGAUCUCCAGCUGCUCCAGACCAGGCACCACCUGGACCCUUAUGUCCUUCCAGCCUGAGAGAAAGUAAGAGAAAGCUCUGGCUCCACACCUGCCUGUCUGCCACACUCCUGACCUGCCUGUGUGGCCUGCGGAGUGCGCAUGCCCUCUCAGGGUUAGGAUGAGGGAGCCGCCCUGGCCUGCAGCCAGAGGCUUAAGGGAUAAGCCUAGAGAAACCGCUCCUGUCACCAUGGGCUUAGAGCGCCCAGCUCUGCUAGCUGGCCCAGCCAAGCCCUCCUUGAAGAGGAUAAGCUGUCAUCAGGAGACUUCUCACCCGCCCGCCACCCGGGCCUCCUUUUCUGAUUGUUUGCCAGGCUCCAAAGCUGCAUCGAUCUUUCAGGGAGACACCAGCACCCACGCACAAGUGCUUUGGGAAGAGCCGUGUGUCCACUGUAGCCCUCCACCUCAUGCCACGUGCACCCUCCACACCUGUGGCCCACAUCUUUGCACGGCCCACACGGCCUAUGUGCACGGGGACUUUCUGUCCUGUAUGCACCGUCAAACAUGGGCACACACACAAACUCAGGCAUGUAACAUAGCACGUGUCCCAUGGAGAUGAACACAUAGGUGCUCCAUUGCAUACACACACCUGCCCCUUCCUGAACCAGGGCCAUGUGAGGGUGAAGGGUGAGUCACCUGCUAAACCGUGGGAUCUGCUGAGCCAGCUGCAUGGGAAGCCCCGAGCUGACAAAUAUGGCCUCGGGGGACCAACACCCCAAGUGGAGCCCGCCCUGCCACCAGCCUCCAGCACCUCCAACCCUCUACUUUUACCUUAUUACCUCCUGCCCAUGCCCUCAGCCAGGACUCAUGACAGAAAGGCACCUCUGCCCUGGCUGGUGUGGCUCAGUGGACUGAGCACAGGCUGUGGGCCAAAGGGUUGCCGGUUCGAUUCCCAGUCAGAGCACAUGCCUGGGU
This is a long non-coding RNA of Artibeus jamaicensis (Jamaican fruit-eating bat), 1307 nucleotides long. RefSeq lists it as uncharacterized. The transcript has 5 exons. The record is from RefSeq and is a predicted model, not a curated record. Lineage: Eukaryota; Metazoa; Chordata; Mammalia; Chiroptera; Phyllostomidae.